RNAcentral lists this ribosomal RNA (529 nucleotides) under Plectosphaerella delsorboi. RNAcentral describes it as "LSU rRNA". It matches the Rfam family "Eukaryotic large subunit ribosomal RNA", at positions 78 to 624 of the family's 3401-position model. Lineage: Eukaryota; Fungi; Ascomycota; Sordariomycetes; Glomerellales; Plectosphaerellaceae. The record is from RNAcentral.
CCUCAGUAACGGCGAGUGAAGCGGCAACAGCUCAAAUUUGAAAUCUGGCUCCUUCGGGGCCCGAGUUGUAAUUUGCAGAGGAUGCGUCGGGUACGGGUUCCCUCCGAGUUCCCUGGAACGGGACGCCAUAGAGGGUGAGAGCCCCGUCUGGUAGGACACCCAGCCCGUGUGACGCUCCCUCGACGAGUCGAGUAGUUUGGGAAUGCUGCUCUAACGGGAGGUAUACUCCUUCCAAGGCUAAAUACCGGCUGGAGACCGAUAGCGCACAAGUAGAGUGAUCGAAAGAUGAAAAGCACUUUGAAAAGAGAGUCAAACAGCACGUGAAAUUGUUAAAAGGGAAGCGCUCGCUACCAGACUUGGGUUCGGCGGUUCAACCGGGGCCAUGCCCCGGGGCACUCCGCCGGCCCAGGCCAGCAUCAGCUUUCCGUCGGGGGCAAAGGCGUCGGGAAUGUGGCUCACCUUCGGGUGAGUGUUAUAGCCCGGCGCGUCAUACCCUUCGGGGGGCUGAGGUACGCGCUUCUGCAAGGAU